Molecule: ribosomal RNA, 496 nt
Filed under: uncultured bacterium
Lineage: Bacteria
Description: partial 16S ribosomal RNA
Rfam family: Bacterial small subunit ribosomal RNA
Source: RNAcentral
GAUGAACGCUGGCGGCGUGCCUAAUACAUGCAAGUCGAGCGAACGGACGAGAAGCUUGCUUCUCUGAUGUUAGCGGCGGACGGGUGAGUAACACGUGGAUAACCUACCUAUAAGACUGGGAUAACUUCGGGAAACCGGAGCUAAUACCGGAUGAUAUUUUGAACCGCAUGGUUCAAAAGUGAAAGACGGUCUUGCUGUCACUUAUAGAUGGAUCCGCGCUGCAUUAGCUAGUUGGUAAGGUAAUGGCUUACCAAGGCAACGAUGCAUAGCCGACCUGAGAGGGUGGUCGGCCACACUGGAACUGAGACACGGUCCAGGCUCCUACGGGAGGCAGCAGUAGGGAAUCUUCCGCAAUGGGCGAAAGCCUGACGGAGCAACGCCGCGUGAGUGAUGAAGGUCUGCGGAUCGUAAAACUCUGUUAUUAGGGAAGAACAUAUGUGUAAGUAACUGUGCACAUCUGGACGGUACCUAAUCAGAAAGCCACGGCUAACUACGU